GCAGCUCAAUGGUAGAGCACCUGCUUUGCAUGCAGAAGGUCCCAGGUUCAGUCCCCAGUAUCUCCA
RNAcentral lists this transfer RNA (66 nucleotides) under Podarcis lilfordi (Lilford's wall lizard). RNAcentral describes it as "tRNA.Ala". It matches the Rfam family "tRNA". Rfam says of the family: Transfer RNA (tRNA) molecules are approximately 80 nucleotides in length. Their secondary structure includes four short double-helical elements and three loops (D, anti-codon, and T loops). The record is from RNAcentral. Lineage: Eukaryota; Metazoa; Chordata; Lepidosauria; Squamata; Lacertidae.